GGCCGGUUGGCCCAAUGGCAAGGCGUCUGACUACGACUCUCUCAAGAUCUCAAGUCAGGGAUCAGAGGUUGUGCAAAUCAGGAGAUUCUGGGUUCGACCCCCAGGCUGGUCA
Non-coding RNA from Colletotrichum navitas, 112 nucleotides. The record is from the annotation of a RefSeq genome assembly. NCBI's taxonomy places the organism in Eukaryota, Fungi, Ascomycota, Sordariomycetes, Glomerellales, Glomerellaceae.